AACAAUGUCACAUGGAUGAUGCCAAGUUC
Molecule: non-coding RNA, 29 nt
Filed under: Mus musculus (house mouse)
Lineage: Eukaryota; Metazoa; Chordata; Mammalia; Rodentia; Muridae
Source: RNAcentral